RNAcentral lists this ribosomal RNA (226 nucleotides) under uncultured bacterium. Its description in RNAcentral is "partial 16S ribosomal RNA". It matches the Rfam family "Bacterial small subunit ribosomal RNA", at positions 538 to 762 of the family's 1533-position model. The record is from RNAcentral.
ACGUUAUUCGGAAUCACUGGGCUUAAAGCGCGUGUAGGCGGGGCGGCACGUCGGCCGUUGAAAUCCCCCGGCUCAACCGGGGAAGUGGCGCCGAUACGACCGCCCUCGAGGGGCGUAGGGGGAGCCGGAACUUCCGGUGGAGCGGUGAAAUGCGUUGAGAUCGGAAGGAACGCCCGUGGCGAAAGCGGGCUCCUGGACGCCUACUGACGCUGAGACGCGAAAGCCA